This is a non-coding RNA of Pelobates cultripes (western spadefoot toad), 862 nucleotides long. The record is from the annotation of a GenBank genome assembly. NCBI's taxonomy places the organism in Eukaryota, Metazoa, Chordata, Amphibia, Anura, Pelobatidae.
GUGGGAGGGAAUGAGACACAUGGGGGGCCCAGGGCAAUUUUUACACUGGUCUGGUGGUUUCUAGUUACUUCUAGUUAUGCCAGUUACAUAACCUAAGGUUCACAAAAUUUACUUUAGACCUACAGGUUUAAGAUGUGUUAUAUUCACUGAACAGCUAGCAGGGUUGUGAUAAUUAAAAUUAUGCAGAGAUUGAAAACACUAGUUGUCUGUAUGCAUUUAGGAAAAGAAGGGAACAUCUCUUAAAUACAGAGUCAAAAUCCAUCCCAACAGGUAACGGGGAAGUUCAUUAAAUUUAUUUAGUGUAAGACAAAAAAGUUUGCCUUCCUUAGUCUGUUUAUUUUAUCCACAUCAUUGCAGUAUAUGUGUGUUUUAACCUCUUCCUUGCUUGUAAGUGUAUUUAUAUUUGUGUGUAUACUGCACUUACUUGUGUUUUUCAUUUCUUAUGUAUUUGUAUUGUCUGUGUGUAGCUAAUCUGCUGAAAUGCAGUAUGUGCAAUUUGUAUCUGGAAUCUGGCAUUGAGAAGCUAAAUCAGUUGACAUUGUUUUACUUUAAUAUUAGAGCCAAAAGUAUCUUUGAAUGAUAGAGAUUGACGUAUCAUUUUUACAAUUAUAACUUACAAAGCUAAAAGACAAUAUAUUGCAAUGUGAUAGCAUUACAAUGUUUGCUUUGCUAUUUAUAUUACUUGGUCUGCUGUAUUAAAAUAUGGUGAAAAGUACAUGUAUGCACAUUAUUUCAUGUAAAUAUGGUGUAUAGAUCGGGUGAUUAUAUAUCUUUAUAUUUCUAGUUCUAAUUAUGGAACCAUGGGUGGGCAAUAUCUUUUGUACACAUAUAUAUUUUGUUAAUAUGGGUGCUUACAUUACAC